RNAcentral lists this transfer RNA (72 nucleotides) under Odorrana hosii (Mount Dulit frog). RNAcentral's name for it is "tRNA-Leu(CUN)". Lineage: Eukaryota; Metazoa; Chordata; Amphibia; Anura; Ranidae. The record is from RNAcentral.
GCUUUUAAAGGAAAACAGCUCUCCACCGGCCUUAGGCGCCGACAUCUCUUGGCGCAAAUCCAAGUAAAAGCU